This 789-nucleotide long non-coding RNA is filed under the name Carassius auratus (goldfish). Its description in RNAcentral is "lncRNA (ENSCARG00000006730.1)". The record is from RNAcentral. Lineage: Eukaryota; Metazoa; Chordata; Actinopteri; Cypriniformes; Cyprinidae.
CGGCUAGAAUUAAAUUACAAUAAUAAAUUAUCAUAUUCUGCAUUCAAACUGAAAUUCUUAUUGUUGGUUGCCUUUGUGUAAUUUCUCCUUUUUCUUUCCCUAUCUUUCCUUUUAUUAGUUCUUUCCUUUAAGUAAUCCUUACAUUAGCUGUACGCUUCUGUCAUAAGUGCCACAAUGGUGACAUGUUUUCUAAUUAUCCCAACCACAUUUUCAGGAGCCAUCCAAAAUCAUUUGGCGACACUGGCAAGCACGGUGAUACUAAAUAGGAAUAAAGCUCUUGCUCAACGCUGAAGAGAAAGAAGACCGCGCACUGGAAUGGCAGGAGAGGCCAGACUGGCAAGAGGUCCUGUUGACCAAUACUGGUGUGUCAGGUGGGGCCCAGUAGAUUUGCCAGAGGGGGAGACCGAGGCAACAUUGGAGAAUAUAAAGAGGGAUCUGCUGAACAUCUACUCAGGCAUGUCAUCUACUCUCUUACUACCUCUGACCAAUGAACAAUAUUUAUCCUUUAUCCUAAAUCCAUGCUAUUGUGUGUUAACUAUGUUACAGUCAUGUGCCACUGCUGUGGACGCCAAUACUGCAGAACUCCCCGGUACCCCCUGCUUGAUCAUUCAAGGUGACAUGAUGAAGCCCUCUGGAUGGCUUAUAUCCAUCAAGGGACAUGUCGUGAUGGGCCCACACCCUUUAUUUUUACACGGAGUAGCACUUUCUUCAGCAGCUAUUACGUAUUCAACCUUGAGUAUCCUACCGCUGGAUCUUCGACGCUGGAGUUCAUUCAAAGGUAUUUUAUAA